CCGAGUUUACAACUCCCAAACCCCUGUGAACAUACCACUUGUUGCCUCGGCGGAUCAGCCCGCUCCCGGUAAAACGGGACGGCCCGCCAGAGGACCCCUAAACUCUGUUUCUAUAUGUAACUUCUGAGUAAAACCUAUUUUAAAAUAAAUUAA
RNAcentral lists this unclassified non-coding RNA (153 nucleotides) under soil metagenome. Its description in RNAcentral is "partial internal transcribed spacer 1". The record is from RNAcentral.